RNAcentral lists this ribosomal RNA (253 nucleotides) under uncultured bacterium. RNAcentral describes it as "partial 16S ribosomal RNA". It matches the Rfam family "Bacterial small subunit ribosomal RNA", at positions 524 to 776 of the family's 1533-position model. The record is from RNAcentral.
UACGGAGGAUGCAAGCGUUAUCCGGAAUUAUUGGGCGUAAAGCGUCCGCAGGUGGCACUUCAAGUCUGCUGUCAAAGACCGGGGCUUAACCCUGGAAAGGCAGUGGAAACUGAAGCGCUAGAGUGUGGCAGGGGUAGAGGGAAUUCCCGGUGUAGCGGCGAAAUGCGCAGAUAUCGGGAGGAACACCAAUGGCGAAGGCAGCUCGCUGGGACGGUACUGACGCUGAGACGCGAAAGCGUGGGGAGCAAACAGG